This 326-nucleotide ribosomal RNA is filed under the name uncultured bacterium. Its description in RNAcentral is "bacterial SSU rRNA". It matches the Rfam family "Bacterial small subunit ribosomal RNA", at positions 30 to 355 of the family's 1533-position model. The record is from RNAcentral.
UUGAACGCUGGCGGCGUGCUUAACACAUGCAAGUCGAUCGGUAACAGGUGUAGCAAUACAUGCUGACGAGAGGCGGACGGGUGAGUAAUGCUUGGGAAUCUGCCUAUUAGUGGGGGGACAACCCGGGGAAACUCGGGCUAAUACCGCAUACGCUCUACGGAGGAAAGCCGGGGACCGCAAGGCCUGGCGCUAAUAGAUGAGCCCAAGUCGGAUUAGCUAGUUGGUAGGGUAACGGCCACCAAGGCGACAAUCCGUAGCUGGUCUGAGAGGACGACCAGCCACACCGGAACUGAGACACGGUCCGGACUCCUACGGGAGGCAGCAGU